This 577-nucleotide ribosomal RNA is filed under the name Coxiella-like endosymbiont. RNAcentral describes it as "bacterial SSU rRNA". It matches the Rfam family "Bacterial small subunit ribosomal RNA", at positions 833 to 1411 of the family's 1533-position model. The record is from RNAcentral. Lineage: Bacteria; Pseudomonadati; Pseudomonadota; Gammaproteobacteria; Legionellales; Coxiellaceae.
UCGCUUUCUAGUAGCGAAGUUAACGCGUUAAGUUCUCCGCCUGGGGAGUACGGCCGCAAGGUUAAAACUCAAAGAAAUUGACGGGGGCCCGCACAAGCGGUGGAGCAUGUGGUUUAAUUCGAUGCAACGCGAAGAACCUUACCUACCCUUGACAUCCUCGGAACUUGUCAGAGAUGACUUGGUGCCUUCGGGAGCCGGGUGACAGGUGCUGCAUGGCUGUCGUCAGCUCGUGUCGUGAGAUGUUGGGUUAAGUCCCGUAACGAGCGCAACCCUCGUCCUUAGUUGCCAGCGGUUUGCCGGGAACUCUAAGGAGACUGCCAGUGAUAAACUGGAGGAAGGCGGGGAUGAUGUCAAGUCAUCAUGGCCCUUACGGGUAGGGCUACACACGUGCUACAAUGGGCAUUACAAAGGGUUGCCAAACCGCGAGGUGGAGCUAAUCCCAAAAAGCUGCUCGUAGUCCGGAUUGGAGUCUGCAACUCGACUCCAUGAAGCUGGAAUCGCUAGUAAUCGCAAAUCAGAACGUUGCGGUGAAUACGUUCUCGGGCCUUGUACACACCGCCCGUCACACCAUGGGAGU